GUGUGUGUGUGUGUGUGUGUGUGUGUGUAGGGCUAUGCGUGGCUGAAGGAGCGUCUCCACAGCGAUGAGGGGAAGAAGCAGCUCAGUAAGAUCAAAGAGCUCCACCUGCUGGCUGACAAACUGAACUGCACUGCUGCUCAGCUCGCUAUAGCAUGGUGUCUCCGUAGUGAAGGCGUCAGCUCGGUUCUUCUCGGAGUCUCCAACACAGAACAGCUGCUGGAGAACCUCGGUUCUAUCAGGGUUCUGUCUCAGCUGACUCCGCCCCUCAUCGCAGAGAUGGACACGUUGCUAGGCAACAAACCACGAAACGGCAAGAAGGAGGCAAGGAGUUGAGGAGCCGAGGAGGAAGAAACUAAAGAAUGUAUCAAUCAGAAAGUAGCUUCUACUUUAUAAUAACCAUCAUAAAUAAAUGGUACAUUUAUAGUUAAUCAAACUUCACUUAUUUUACUUUGAAAUGAUGAAUAAAAAUGUUUAUUGAUUAAUAGGAAUCAUUUAAUACUCAUUAUUGUAUCAUUAGGUUGUUUACUUUAUAACUGUAUAUCGUAUCAUAGCGGAUAAGAGACGAUAACAAUUUUAUCCUAAAUAUAUUAGUAAAUUAUUUAUUAACAGUUUAUUGUUGCACACAUUAUAGUACUUGAUAUACUAUACUCAGUAUUCUUUAACGAUUAUCAAAUAAUUUGUAAAACAUCUAUGAAUAUUACAUAGAUAGAUGGAACAGACGGCAAUUAUUAUCCAUUAACAAAGUAUUAACAAUUGAAAUGUUUAUAGAUGCUUUACAAAGUAUGUAUUAACAUUUAACAAAGUAUUAAUUCAAAUGUUUAUAGAUGCUUUACAAAGUAUUUAUUAACAUUUAACAAAGUAUUAACAAUUCAAAUAAUGUUUAUAGAUGCUUUACAAAGUAUUUAUUAACAUUUAACAAAGUAUUAACAAUUCAAAUAAUGUUUAUAGAUGCUUUACAAAGUAUGUAUUAACAUUUCAAAUAAUGUUUAUAGAUACUUUACAAAGUAUUAACAAAUAUCUGACCCAUCCAUCUUUAUGUUCAUAAAUGUUUUACAAAUCAUUUGGUAUUGAUUAGUGAAUUCUGAAUAUAGUAUAUAAAAUGUUAUGAUGUAUGAAACAGUUAAAAUAAGAGUAAUUAUAGAUCAAUAAUGAUCAUUUCAUUGUUUAUUAACAUUAUGAUAACUGUUAAUAAAAGUUUAAUUAACUAUAAAUGUACCAUUCAUUGAUGAUGGUUAUUAUAAAGUGUUAACGAAAGGACACAAGGAAGGACAUUAAGGAAACAAGGAAGGAGUGAAGGGAAGGACACUAAACGAAAGGACACGUGGAUCAAUAAACAGUAUUAUUCUUUGGGACCUGAGAUGGACAGAUUCCUGCAGAUGAUCUGAAAUAUAUCAGAAAUAUUUAUUCUUAUUUUAAUAAGCAUAUUGGUGCAGAGCCUCGUGUCGGAGAGCUUGAAGACAGUUUGAUACAAUAAUCUAUAAUUCAUAUGAAGAAAUUAAGAAUUAAAUGAAGUAAAAGAAAGAGAACUAAAUAUUAUUCCUCCAGUUUGUAUUUAUUUAAAGUUUCUUACGUGACAGAAAGGUGUUUUAUUGUGGAAGUCGGUCAGCUGAUUUCCACCAUGAAGGAAAAAAAGAUGAAAGAAGAAAUAUAUUAAUAUAUUAAUGUAUUAAUGUCAUCGUGAUUUAAAAAGAGUGCUCACGUUAUAACGACGUAUUUCCUCAUUACUGUACAUCCCAAAUGUUCCUUUUAUUCUACAAAAUCAAUCAUAACAAUGAAAUCAAAAGAAGAAACGUUCACGUGGAAAACACCUGAAGACUUUAUGGAUAAAUGUGAGUUAUUAAGUCAAGACUUUGAAUUUUAAUCAAGUUUGAACGAAAGGUCGACAUAUUUAUACCAAACAGGAAGUUAAAUCCUUAUAUUUAGUUUCUUUAUAUAUAAUUAAGUAAACUAAUAUUUUUACAAACUUUUAACAUCAAAACACUGAUAAU
Molecule: long non-coding RNA, 1988 nt
Organism: Anarrhichthys ocellatus (wolf-eel)
Lineage: Eukaryota; Metazoa; Chordata; Actinopteri; Perciformes; Anarhichadidae
Exons: 3
Source: RefSeq, a predicted model, not a curated record